Molecule: long non-coding RNA, 761 nt
Organism: Agrilus planipennis (emerald ash borer)
Lineage: Eukaryota; Metazoa; Arthropoda; Insecta; Coleoptera; Buprestidae
Exons: 5
Source: RefSeq, a predicted model, not a curated record
AUUGAUAAAUAGUUUAAAAGCUCUCCGUACUGAGAGUGGCGAUGGCGCCAGCAGUCUUUUUCAUUGAAGGCCACAAUCAUCGUGGCUUAUGCCUUCAGUACGAUGCGCGAGCUCGUUUCAGUGGAAACUAACUAAUUGUUUGUGGAAAGUAUCUCGAAAAUUUAUGCAUAUUUACCUUUUUGAAAAGUGGAACAAGUUGAUAUUCCUUUGAUUUCGUAGGGUAACCCCUUCAAUUGAAAGGAUAUUUUUCUGGAAGAGCAACUGAUGAAUAAAUGGGAUUAGGUACUAACCAGGAAUGAUUCAAUGAAGAUAAGAACAAUUUGACAAUGGAGGACAGUUUUGGAUAAUCUUCAACUGUAACUUUUUCACAUAAACAAAGAAAAUGAGCCAUUUGGGUGCUUUGCGUCUUCGACUUCCAUUCCAACGGCUUCUUCUUUAGAUACAGUCUUUUAAAAUUGGUAGAACCAGUCAGUGGUGGAAUCAUCAUAAUUAAUGGAGAACAUCAGGACCACCAGAACAUCAAAGGACCAGACCAGAGCAAUACAUUCCGUCAAUAUCGGCCCAGUCAGAGCAAGAGGAAGAUCAAGAAAAUUUAGUAGAACCAGUCAGUGAUGGGCAUCUGAGCCAACAAGAGAAAUCAUCAUAAUGAUUGGAGAACAUCAGGACCACCAGGACGUCAAGGGACCAGACCAGAGCAAUCCAUUCCAUCAAUAUGUAAAUGUAAUAUUUAUUUAUUUAUUAAAUUUUUAUCUUCCUUUUUC